This is a non-coding RNA of Vicia faba (fava bean), 258 nucleotides long. The record is from the annotation of a GenBank genome assembly. NCBI's taxonomy places the organism in Eukaryota, Viridiplantae, Streptophyta, Magnoliopsida, Fabales, Fabaceae.
AUGGUUGUUGAUGUCUCAAAAGAAUUUUCCCCUGAUAUAGUUGUAGGUUUUACGGAUCCACAUGUGACACUUAAUAUUGGAGUUGCAUUUUUUAGGGAAACUCCAAAAAGACCUUAUGACACAGUUAUAGUGGAUUCAUUUGAUCCUAUUGCUAGGACUGGAGUUGUGUAUGCAGUAGAGUUCUUCCACCGAAGUGGACAUGAUUCAAUUUAUAAAGAUAACAAGUUGAAGUUGGCUUUUCGGAUGGAACAAAAUUAG